This 460-nucleotide ribosomal RNA is filed under the name uncultured bacterium. Its description in RNAcentral is "partial 16S ribosomal RNA". It matches the Rfam family "Bacterial small subunit ribosomal RNA", at positions 338 to 795 of the family's 1533-position model. The record is from RNAcentral.
CCUACGGGCGGCAGCAGUGAGGAAUAUUGGUCAAUGGGCGCGAGCCUGAACCAGCCAAGUAGCGUGAAGGAUGACUGCCCUACGGGUUGUAAACUUCUUUUAUAAGGGAAUAAAGUGAGGCACGUGUGCCUUUUUGUAUGUACUUUAUGAAUAAGGAUCGGCUAACUCCGUGCCAGCAGCCGCGGUAAUACGGAGGAUCCGAGCGUUAUCCGGAUUUAUUGGGUUUAAAGGGCGCGUAGAUGGUUUGUUAAGUCAGUUGUGAAAGUUUGCGGCUCAACCGUAAAAUUGCAGUUGAUACUGGAAGCCUUGAGUACAGUUGAGGUAGGCGGAAUUCGUGGUGGAGCGGUGAAAUGCUUAGAUAGCACGAAGAACUCCGAUUGCGAAGGCAGCUUACUAAACUGCCACUGACAUUGAUGCUCGAAAGUGUGGGUAUCAAACAGGAUUAGAUACCCGAGUAGUC